AAUCUCACAUCAGAUUUCCUGGUGUAACGAAUUUUCAAGUGCUUCUUGCAUAAGCAAGUUUGAUCCCGACCCGUAGGGCCGGGAUUUUUU
This 90-nucleotide non-coding RNA is filed under the name Salmonella enterica subsp. enterica serovar Typhimurium str. 14028S. Its description in RNAcentral is "small regulatory RNA DsrA". It matches the Rfam family "DsrA RNA". From Rfam's summary of the family: DsrA RNA regulates both transcription, by overcoming transcriptional silencing by the nucleoid-associated H-NS protein, and translation, by promoting efficient translation of the stress sigma factor, RpoS. Lineage: Bacteria; Pseudomonadati; Pseudomonadota; Gammaproteobacteria; Enterobacterales; Enterobacteriaceae. The record is from RNAcentral. RNAcentral also lists the same sequence under 1 other name.